Long non-coding RNA from Mauremys reevesii (Reeves's turtle), 622 nucleotides. RefSeq lists it as uncharacterized. Lineage: Eukaryota; Metazoa; Chordata; Testudines; Geoemydidae. The record is from RefSeq and is a predicted model, not a curated record. The transcript has 3 exons.
UGCUGGAGGCAAUUGCUGCACGCUCAGCCCUAGAGCGUGAAUUCUUCUGUGUCUCCCCAAACAGCUGUGGUGCAAGCUUCCUCACGCUGCUUUGCCAAGGCCUGGUCUACACUUGGAUUUUACAUCGAUAUAUCUACAUCUCUCAGGGAUGUGAACUCCAUGCUCCCGAGAGACGUAGCUCCACCACUCUCACCCCUGCUGUGGACAGCGGUACAUCAGUGGAAGACUCCUCCCAUCGACCUCGCUACUGCCUCUCAUCGCGGUGAGGGAACCUCUCCCGUUGGCGGAGGGCGUGUCGACACAAGUGGUGCAGCUGCGCUGCUGUAGCAUGUUAAGUGGCGACGUCCCUCAGGCAGAUGAUGGCACAGAUCCCCCAGUGGCUGGUAAUACUGAAGUGUUUGCUCUGCAAUUGGAAAACCCCACAGGCAGGAACGAUGCAUUCCCAAGUGUGAAACAUUUGUGAUCUCUUGCCCAACAAAAGAAGGUCCAUAGACUGUACCAGACAAAUCAUCGUGGAACAUCAGAAGACAGACUUUGUUGAUAGCUCCCACCCCCACCCCCCACGCCCUUAUGAAGAGGAGAUGUCCCAUCAUCUUGAACUCUGGGGGAAGGGAAUAAAAAU